This 488-nucleotide ribosomal RNA is filed under the name uncultured bacterium. Its description in RNAcentral is "partial 16S ribosomal RNA". It matches the Rfam family "Bacterial small subunit ribosomal RNA", at positions 28 to 507 of the family's 1533-position model. The record is from RNAcentral.
GACGAACGCUGGCGGCGUGCUUAACACAUGCAAGUCGAACGGAAAGGCACUGCUUUUGUGGGGUGCUCGAGUGGCGAACGGGUGAGUAACACGUGAGUAACCUGCCCUUGACUUUGGGAUAACCUCAGGAAACCGGGGCUAAUACCGGAUAGGAGCUCCUGCCGCAUGGUGGGGGUUGGAAAGUUUCGGCGGUUGGGGAUGGACUGGUGGCUUAUCAGCUUGUUGGUGGGGUCGUGGGUUACCAAGGCUACGACGGAUAGCCGAAGUGAGGGGGUGAUCGGCCAGACUGGAACUGAGACACGGUCCAGAUUCCUACGGGAGGAAGAAGUAGGGAAGCUUCGGCAAUGGGCGAAAGCCUGACGGAGCAACGCCGCGUGAGUGACGAAGGUCUUCGGAUCGUAAAAGGCUGUUAUUAGGGAAGAACAUAUGUGUAAGUAACUGUGCACAGCUGGACGGUACCUAAUCAGAAAGCCACGGCUAACUACGUG